AGAAUCAACGCUGGCGGCGUGCCUAACGCAUGCAAGUCGCACGAGAAAGGGGAGCAAUCCCUGAGUAAAGUGGCGCACGGGUGAGUAACACGUGAAUCAUCUACCUCCGAGUGGGGAAUAACCUAGAGAAAUCUGGGCUAAUACCGCAUAACACUUACGAGUCAAAGCAGCAAUGCGCUUGGAGAGGAGUUCGCGGCCGAUUAGCUAGUUGGCGGGGUAAUGGCCCACCAAGGCGAUGAUCGGUA
RNAcentral lists this ribosomal RNA (245 nucleotides) under uncultured bacterium. RNAcentral describes it as "partial small subunit ribosomal RNA". It matches the Rfam family "Bacterial small subunit ribosomal RNA", at positions 26 to 285 of the family's 1533-position model. The record is from RNAcentral.